ACUGGAGGAUUUCUGCAAAGAGCAGCUCAAGAAGAUCUCAGACAGAGUCCCAUUCACCAACAUUGAUCUCUGGACCAGGAACGACUUCCUACAAUGUAAGUCAGUAAGAAAACCAGCAGAAAAACUC
This is a long non-coding RNA of Carassius auratus (goldfish), 127 nucleotides long. RefSeq lists it as uncharacterized. The record is from RefSeq and is a predicted model, not a curated record. The transcript is spliced from 2 exons. NCBI's taxonomy places the organism in Eukaryota, Metazoa, Chordata, Actinopteri, Cypriniformes, Cyprinidae.